UACGGAGGGUGCAAGCGUUAUCCGGAUUUAUUGGGUUUAAAGGGUCCGUAGGCGGAUCAUUAAGUCAGUGGUGAAAUCCGACAGCUCAACUGUCGAACUGCCAUUGAUACUGAUGAUCUUGAGUACGGUUGAAGUAGACGGAAUAUGACAUGUAGCGGUGAAAUGCUUAGAUAUGUCAUGGAACACCGAUUGCGAAGGCAGCCUACUAAGCCGUUACUGACGCUGAGGGACGAAAGUGUGGGGAGCGAACAGG
Molecule: ribosomal RNA, 253 nt
Filed under: uncultured bacterium
Lineage: Bacteria
Description: partial 16S ribosomal RNA
Rfam family: Bacterial small subunit ribosomal RNA
Source: RNAcentral